RNAcentral lists this ribosomal RNA (412 nucleotides) under uncultured Glomeromycotina. Its description in RNAcentral is "SSU rRNA". It matches the Rfam family "Eukaryotic small subunit ribosomal RNA", at positions 682 to 1092 of the family's 1831-position model. Lineage: Eukaryota; Fungi; Glomeromycota. The record is from RNAcentral.
GGUACAAUUGGUUUCUCCCUUCUGACGAAGCAUGAUGUCAUUAAUUUGGUGUCGUGGGGAAUCAGGACUGUUACUUUGAAAAAAUUAGAGUGUUUAAAGCAAGCAUUAGCUUGAAUACAUUAGCAUGGAAUAAUGAAAUAGGACGUUUGAUCCUAUUUCGUUGGUUUCUAGGAUCGACGUAAUGAUUAAUAGGGAUAGUUGGGGGCAUUAGCAUUCAAUUGUCAGAGGUGAAAUUCUUGGAUUUAUUGAAGACUAACUACUGCGAAAGCAUUUGCCAAGGAUGUUUUCAUUAAUCAAGAACGAAAGUUAGGGGAUCGAAGACGAUCAGAUACCGUCGUAGUCUUAACCAUAAACUAUGCCGACUAGGGAUCGGAUGAUGUUAAUUUUUUAAUGACUCAUUCGGCGCCUUACG